Molecule: transfer RNA, 77 nt
Filed under: Dehalococcoidia bacterium
Lineage: Bacteria; Bacillati; Chloroflexota; Dehalococcoidia
Description: tRNA-Val
Rfam family: tRNA
About the family: Transfer RNA (tRNA) molecules are approximately 80 nucleotides in length. Their secondary structure includes four short double-helical elements and three loops (D, anti-codon, and T loops). Further hydrogen bonds mediate the characteristic L-shaped molecular structure. tRNAs have two regions of fundamental functional importance: the anti-codon, which is responsible for specific mRNA codon recognition, and the 3' end, to which the tRNAs corresponding amino acid is attached (by aminoacyl-tRNA synthetases). tRNAs cope with the degeneracy of the genetic code in two manners: having more than one tRNA (with a specific anti-codon) for a particular amino acid; and 'wobble' base-pairing, i.e. permitting non-standard base-pairing at the 3rd anti-codon position.
Source: RNAcentral
GGGCGAUUAGCUCAGAUGGCUAGAGCGCCUCGCUUACACCGAGGAGGUCAGAGGUUCGAGCCCUCUAUCGCCCACCA